CAGGGCUCCCGCCACCCCGGGCCCCGCCCCGCCGACUAGGUCCCGCCCGCUUUUCCCGGGCCCCGCCCCGGCCCGUCGCCAUGUUGUUCCCUCCGUGCAGGACGGGGGCAACCGCAGACUGACCCGCGCCGUGCCGCCGACGUCUCCUGCCUGCUGGCUCCUCGACCCUCUUCACUUUUUUUCCCUGCCCCCGGACGGACCGGCCCGAAGCUCCCGAACUUAUUCCGUGUGGCCGUGAGAAGCUGUCUGCGCUCAGGCCAUGAGCCUGGCACAGUGGUGAGCUGCUUUCCCUGGUGUCUGUGUCUCAGUGACUCUUUCCUCAGCCCUCCGAUAAUGAUGAUGCUUGAACUGAACAAUUAAGGGUUCCACAGU
Molecule: long non-coding RNA, 372 nt
Filed under: Bos mutus (wild yak)
Lineage: Eukaryota; Metazoa; Chordata; Mammalia; Artiodactyla; Bovidae
Description: lncRNA (ENSBMUG00000023902.1)
Source: RNAcentral